UCGUAACAAGGUUUCCGUAGGUGAACCUGCGGAAGGAUCAUUACUGAGUGAGGGCCCUCUGGGUCCAACCUCCCACCCGUGUUUAACGAACCUUGUUGCUUCGGCGGGCCCGCCUCACGGCCGCCGGGGGGCAUCCGCCCCCGGGCCCGCGCCCGCCGAAGACACCUGUGAACUCUGUCUGAAGUUGCAGUCUGAGAAACUAUUUAAAUUAGUUAAAACUUUCAACAACGGAUCUCUUGGUUCCGGCAUCGAUGAAGAACGCAGCGAAAUGCGAUAAAUAAUGUGAAUUGCAGAAUUCAGUGAAUCAUCGAGUCUUUGAACGCACAUUGCGCCCUCUGGUAUUCCGGAGGGCAUGCCUGUCCGAGCGUCAUUGCUGCCCUCAAGCACGGCUUGUGUGUUGGGCCCCGUCCCCCCCCUCCCGGGGGGACGGGCCCGAAAGGCAGCGGCGGCACCGCGUCCGGUCCUCGAGCGUAUGGGGCUUUGUCACCCGCUCUUGUAGGCCCGGCCGGCGCUUGCCGACCCCCUCAAUCUAUUUUUCAGGUUGACCUCGGAUCAGGUAGGGAUACCCGCUGAACUUAAGCAUAUCAAUAA
Molecule: unclassified non-coding RNA, 591 nt
Filed under: Penicillium shearii
Lineage: Eukaryota; Fungi; Ascomycota; Eurotiomycetes; Eurotiales; Aspergillaceae
Description: sequence contains 18S rRNA gene, ITS1, 5.8S rRNA gene, ITS2, 28S rRNA gene
Rfam family: 5.8S ribosomal RNA (bases 217-370)
Source: RNAcentral